GGCAAACCGCAGGACCUUUUUUGCCAGCUGCUAGUGGGCUCAUUCAUACUCCUCCUUCUGAAGGAUAACAGCAGCUUGAUAUUUACUUCUGAGGUUCCUCUUGUGAAUUACAAGACUGAAUGCCAAAGAAUCAGAUAUUUACAUUCCCCUAUUUCUCUGUCCACAACCACUGAAUACCACAGCAAUGACAGCGUUCCAGUCUGAGACAUUUGUUGCUGUCCCAGUGCAAUAUAAUGCAAAGCUGAAAGUGGAUGGAAGCCAAACCUCAGGACACACAGAGACGUCACUACUGUACACUAAGCCUUAGAGACAUGCACAUCAAAUGGUGGACAAGGACAAUAUUUCAGGGCUAUUCCUAGGUGACUCUUACCAUAAAGGCAUCAUUCAGCCCUAGACCACCAGGACAACAACCUGAGUAUAUCUCAGGAUCUGAACUGAACAAACAUACAGUAUCUGACUAGCAUCAGGUAAAAUACCCCUGGAGGGAAGCUCUGUCUCCACAGCAUACACAGUGCUAAUUCUUCAUAAUGAGCACUCAGCACCAAUAUGUGCUCAUUACUCAGAGACAUCAGCUCCAUUCCCACCACUACAAACAACUGUAAUUCACAGGCAUAAUAAGGCUGAUAGGAGAGGAGUUGGGAUGUGUCCAGAAGAGACAGAUAUGGGUCAAAGCAGUUAGCCAUUCAUGGAGGGAAAUCAUGGAAGGGGGUGGAGGCUGAAGAGUCCCAGAAGAGUCCUUUGAUUGACAGUGCUUCGGCUUCCAGCUUAUUGCCAUGUGGGCAGCUGAUUCACGGUUCACAUGCCUUACAGAAUUGAGCUGGCACAGGCUCCCAUGCCCACCUGCUGUUUCUAGAACACAAAAGCAUGGUGCUUUCAGUAAAACCACUUGUUCUAAUAAAGUGCAGAUUAUGGUCGUACAUGCUGAACAGUUUGAUGACAAACCGGGUAAGGUAAUGAGAGGCAAUGUGAGAUAUACCCGAGUCUUCCCAUUGACUCGAGUCAUGGGAGCUUUAUUUGUUUUUUAUGCUGUGUAUUUUUUGUACAUUUAAACACAUAGAUAUAAUAUAAGCCUGUAAUACUUUGAUAUUGUUGAAUGUUGAAUUCUGAUUGGUCAGAAGGUUUCAUUUUCUAUAACAGCACGGCUCUGACACUCAUUUCUUUUUUGCUUUAUUACCUUAAUGACAAAGAGAAAAAAGGAGGUUGUUGAGCCAGUGAUUGUUUAUAGCUGCUAUAACAAGUCAUAACAGGAACUAACAUGUGUCAAAAACAU
Long non-coding RNA from Ictalurus punctatus (channel catfish), 1270 nucleotides. The record is from Ensembl. Lineage: Eukaryota; Metazoa; Chordata; Actinopteri; Siluriformes; Ictaluridae.